Molecule: ribosomal RNA, 225 nt
Filed under: uncultured bacterium
Lineage: Bacteria
Description: partial 16S ribosomal RNA
Rfam family: Bacterial small subunit ribosomal RNA
Source: RNAcentral
GAUCCUGGCUCAGGACGAACGCUGGCGGCACGCUUAACACAUGCAAGUCGAACGAGAGAAGAGAAGCUUGCUUUUCUGAUCUAGUGGCGGACGGGUGAGUAACACGUGAGCAAUCUGCCUUUCAGAGGGGGAUACCGAUUGGAAACGAUCGUUAAUACCGCAUAAUAUAAUUGAACCGCAUGAUUUGAUUAUCAAAGAUUUAAUCGCUGAAAGAUGAGCUCGCGU